Molecule: ribosomal RNA, 227 nt
Filed under: uncultured Lactobacillus sp.
Lineage: Bacteria; Bacillati; Bacillota; Bacilli; Lactobacillales; Lactobacillaceae
Description: partial 16S ribosomal RNA
Rfam family: Bacterial small subunit ribosomal RNA
Source: RNAcentral
UCGGGAUAACACCUGGAAACAAGAUGCUAAUACCGGAUAACAACAGAUGAUGCCUAUCAACUGUUUAAAAGGAAUGGUUCUGCUAUCACUCUUGGAUGGACCUGCGGUGCAUUAGCUAGUUGGUAGGGUAACGGCCUACCAAGGCGAUGAUGCAUAGCCGAGUUGAGAGACUGAUCGGCCACAUUGGGACUGAGACACGGCCCAAACUCCUACGGGAGGCAGCAGAC